UACAGACAUUGCAUUGUGUGGCAGUACAAGCACAGUGUACAACAUGGCUACAGCUUCUUCUCUUCUUUCUCCGGUUCCUUCUUCUCUUUCCCUUCAUUCGGCGUCUCUUUUCUCGAAUUGGCAGAAUCCCAGAGGAAACUACAGUCAACAUCGGAAUUUGGGAUUUACAUCUUCCCUCGGUCUCUUCGAUCUCCCCAUAUCGUACCCUGCACCAACCGGCCUGAUUCUUCGUCAGUACUUGUUACGGCUGUACAUAGUAAUAAAAGAUCGUACAGGGAGCAUAGCCAGAAUCUUUUCCCCUUAUUAGGUCCAGGCUUCAUUACAACUAAUGUAUCGCGUCA
RNAcentral lists this small RNA (341 nucleotides) under Cryptococcus neoformans H99. Its description in RNAcentral is "Cryptococcus neoformans var. grubii H99 hypothetical RNA". The record is from RNAcentral. Lineage: Eukaryota; Fungi; Basidiomycota; Tremellomycetes; Tremellales; Cryptococcaceae.